GGAAGGUGCAAGCGUUACCCGGAAUCAUUGGGCGUAAAGCGUCCGCAGGCUGUUUGUUAAGUUGGAUGUUAAAUUUUGCAGCUCAACUGCAAAACUAUAUCCAAAACUAGCAAACUUGAGUAUUGCAGAGGUACGUGGAAUUCUGUGUGUAGGGGUAAAAUCCGUAGAUACACAGAGGAACACCAAAAGCGAAGGCAGCGUACUGGGCAAUUACUGACGCUCAGGGACGAAAGCGUGGGUAGCGAACGGGGAUUAGAUACCCCGGUAGUCCACGCCGUAAACGAUGGAUACUAGGUGUUGGGAGACUCGACCCCUCUCAGUGCCCGACGCUAACGCAUUAAGUAUCCCGCCUGGGGGAGUACGGUCGCAAGGUUA
RNAcentral lists this ribosomal RNA (375 nucleotides) under uncultured organism. Its description in RNAcentral is "partial 16S ribosomal RNA". It matches the Rfam family "Bacterial small subunit ribosomal RNA", at positions 527 to 896 of the family's 1533-position model. The record is from RNAcentral.